AACUUUUAACAAUGGAUCUCUAGGCUCUCAUAUCGAUGAAGAACACAGUGAAAUGUGAUAAGUAAUGUGAAUUGCAGAAUUCAGUGAAUCAUUGAAUCCUUGAACGCACCUUGCACCUUUUGGUAUUCCAAAAGGUACGCCUGUUUGAGUGUCAUGAAAAUCUCUCAUCAAAUUAAUUUUUGGUGGAUGUUG
This 192-nucleotide ribosomal RNA is filed under the name Uromyces sp. H92840. Its description in RNAcentral is "5.8S rRNA". The stretch from base 1 to 154 matches the Rfam family "5.8S ribosomal RNA". From Rfam's summary of the family: 5.8S ribosomal RNA (5.8S rRNA) is a component of the large subunit of the eukaryotic ribosome. The record is from RNAcentral. Lineage: Eukaryota; Fungi; Basidiomycota; Pucciniomycetes; Pucciniales; Pucciniaceae.